AUUGAGCGCUGGCGGCAUGCUUUACACAUGCAAGUCGAACGGUAACAGGCCGCAAGGUGCUGACGAGUGGCGAACGGGUGAGUAAUGCAUCGGAACGUGCCCAGUCGUGGGGGAUAACUACUCGAAAGAGUAGCUAAUACCGCAUACGAUCUAUGGAUGAAAGCGGGGGACCGUAAGGCCUCGCGCGAUUGGAGCGGCCGAUGUCAGAUUAGGUAGUUGGUGGGGUAAAGGCUCACCAAGCCAACGAUCUGUAGCUGGUCUGAGAGGACGACCAGCCACACUGGGACUGAGACACGGCCCAGACUCCUACGGGAGGCAGCAGUGGGGAAUUUUGGACAAUGGGCGCAGGCCUGAUCCAGCAAUGCCGCGUGCAGGAAGAAGGCCUUCGGGUUGUAAACUGCUUUUGUACGGAACGAAACGGCUCUGGUUAAUACCCGGGGCUAAUGACGGUACCGUAAGAAUAAGCACCGGCUAACUACGUG
Molecule: ribosomal RNA, 482 nt
Filed under: uncultured bacterium
Lineage: Bacteria
Description: partial 16S ribosomal RNA
Rfam family: Bacterial small subunit ribosomal RNA
Source: RNAcentral